This 1086-nucleotide long non-coding RNA is filed under the name Prunus persica (peach). Its description in RNAcentral is "long non-coding RNA (PPER_LNC006012)". The record is from RNAcentral. Lineage: Eukaryota; Viridiplantae; Streptophyta; Magnoliopsida; Rosales; Rosaceae.
AGAGGGAGUAAAGCUACACAUAUUUCAUUCAAUGUCAGCUGCAAGUUGAAUAUGGGAAUAAAGAAAGAAAGCAGCAAACAACUUUGCUGCUGUGAGGAAUGCAAGGAUUGAAAGAAGUAUGGUAGUAGCAAAAGGAAAUCAUUUUCACACGUGAUGUACAACAGCCAAAAGCAAGAAUAGGAAGAAAAAAGAUGGUUGUGCCUUUAGACCAAAGGAUAAUGCAAAGAAAUAUAAGAAUGGGCACCCACGUGAAGAAAGCAAAGGGAAUACAGCAGCCAGCACAUGAAAAUGAUGAAUAUGAUGAUGCUUUAGUUGCUCUCCUUUCUCUAUAAAUAGAAGGCAAUGCAAGGAACCCCGCAGGGGGGAGAGAGAGACAAACGAGAGGAGAAUUAGUAAAAACUUUGGGCACCAAAUAGAAUUAAAGUUAGAGACCCUAGGAAGCCGAGAGGCAAGGAUCUAGGGGCAUCUACUAUUCUAGUUUUUCUUCUCUUAAUUUUCCUUUUCAAGUUUUCAAUUGUUGUAAUAAAAUCCUUUUGCUAGAUUUUUCUUUAUGUUUUUUUUUACUUGUGCUUUAUUUUUCCUUGUCAUGUAAUUUCUUAUUAGGGAAUUAAGAAUACAAGGUUAGGACCAAACACCAUGGCUUAAUCACUGUGAAUCUGAAUAGAACUUGUUAACUUGAUUGUUUUAAAUUUUUGUCUUUCAUUUACGUGUUUACUUUCGUCAUUAAGUUUAGUUUCUAUUUUCCUUACCUAAUCAACACACCCGAUUUCUAUUUUGUAUAGGGAAACGAGUUGAAUCAAUCUAUCAUCAAUUCUCGUGAGAUCGACCUCGCACUUACAUAUGCUAUACUACCCAAUAGCUCAUGCACUUGCAAGUAUGACAAGUUGAGGAUCCAAGCUGAAUUGACACAACACCUGUGUCAGAUGAAUGUCUUGACCGUGUAUGGGGAGUGUCUUAAUUGUGGGCACAUCGUUGACCAUAGGCCACGGGUGUCUGAGUGUCUGACACUCCGACACUUGCGCGUAGUGAAGUAUCCAUGCAACCAGUGGCGGAGCCACUCCUAGACCUGGAGUGGCCCUGGCCCCC